UACGGAGGGUGCAAGCGUUGUUCGGAAUUACUGGGCGUAAAGCGCGUGCAGGCGGCCGAUUAAGUCCGGUGUGAAAGCCCGGGGCUCACCCCCGGAAGUGCGCUGGAAACUGGUCGGCUAGAGUACGGGAGAGGGAAGCGGAAUUCCUGGUGUAGCGGUGAAAUGCGUAGAUAUCAGGAGGAACACCGGCGGCGAAGGCGGCUUCCUGGACCGAUACUGACGCUGAGACGCGAAAGCGUGGGGAGCAAACAGG
RNAcentral lists this ribosomal RNA (253 nucleotides) under uncultured bacterium. RNAcentral describes it as "partial 16S ribosomal RNA". It matches the Rfam family "Bacterial small subunit ribosomal RNA", at positions 524 to 776 of the family's 1533-position model. The record is from RNAcentral.